CGAGAACAGCUCCUUGUACAGCGCCGGGAAAACGACGUUCGGGUGCUGCAGCUUGAACUUGCUCAGCGAUUCCAUGUGCAAGAUGGAAAUGUCGCUGAAAAAUUAAAUUGGAAGUGUUCAAAUUGACUUGAAGAAGGAAGAACUUUAAUACAUACAUAAGGAAUACUAGUUCUUCUUAUAAACCUUUAUAUGCUAUCUUUUGGAUAAAUGCUUUCUUUUCUUAUGAAAUCUAACAGAGAUGUUUAUUUUUAAUAAAGGAUUAUAAGGUAAA
Drosophila ficusphila is the source of this 271-nucleotide long non-coding RNA. RefSeq lists it as uncharacterized. NCBI's taxonomy places the organism in Eukaryota, Metazoa, Arthropoda, Insecta, Diptera, Drosophilidae. The record is from RefSeq and is a predicted model, not a curated record. The transcript has 2 exons.